ACCAAGCAUAGUGGUAUGUGCCUGUAGUCCUUGCUACUCAGGAGGCUGAGGCUGGAAGAUCACUUGAGUCCAGGAGUUCUGAGCUGUAGUGUGCUAUGCUAACCAAGUGUCCACACUAAGUUUAACAUCAAUAUAGUGACCUUCCAGGAGUAUGGACCACCAGGUUGCCUAAAGAGGGGUGAACCAACCUAGAUAAAAAGCAAUGCAGGUCAAAACUCCCAUGCUGAUCAGUGGGAUUGUGUCUAUGACUAGCCACUGCACUACAGCCUAGGCAAUAUAGCAAGACCCCCAUCUCA
Molecule: signal recognition particle RNA, 296 nt
Filed under: Carlito syrichta (Philippine tarsier)
Lineage: Eukaryota; Metazoa; Chordata; Mammalia; Primates; Tarsiidae
Description: Metazoan signal recognition particle RNA (ENSTSYG00000028867.1)
Rfam family: Metazoan signal recognition particle RNA
About the family: The signal recognition particle (SRP) is a universally conserved ribonucleoprotein. It is involved in the co-translational targeting of proteins to membranes.
Source: RNAcentral